GCCGCGUUAGCUCAGAUGGCAGAGCGUUCGCCUUGUAAGCGAAAUGUCGAGAGUUCGACUCUCUCACGCGGCU
This 73-nucleotide transfer RNA is filed under the name Nocardioides sp. RNAcentral's name for it is "tRNA-Thr". It matches the Rfam family "tRNA". Rfam says of the family: Transfer RNA (tRNA) molecules are approximately 80 nucleotides in length. Their secondary structure includes four short double-helical elements and three loops (D, anti-codon, and T loops). The record is from RNAcentral. Lineage: Bacteria; Bacillati; Actinomycetota; Actinomycetes; Propionibacteriales; Nocardioidaceae.